This 256-nucleotide ribosomal RNA is filed under the name Salmonella enterica. RNAcentral's name for it is "partial 23S ribosomal RNA". It matches the Rfam family "Bacterial large subunit ribosomal RNA", at positions 558 to 816 of the family's 2925-position model. RNAcentral also lists the same sequence under 3 other names. Lineage: Bacteria; Pseudomonadati; Pseudomonadota; Gammaproteobacteria; Enterobacterales; Enterobacteriaceae. The record is from RNAcentral.
GUGUACGUACAAGCAGUGGGAGCACCCUUCGGGGUGUGACUGCGUACCUUUUGUAUAAUGGGUCAGCGACUUAUAUUCUGUAGCAAGGUUAACCGUAUAGGGGAGCCGGAGGGAAACCGAGUCUUAACCGGGCGUUAAGUUGCAGGGUAUAGACCCGAAACCCGGUGAUCUAGCCAUGGGCAGGUUGAAGGUUGGGUAACACUAACUGGAGGACCGAACCGACUAAUGUUGAAAAAUUAGCGGAUGACCUGUGGCU